RNAcentral lists this ribosomal RNA (245 nucleotides) under uncultured bacterium. Its description in RNAcentral is "partial 16S ribosomal RNA". It matches the Rfam family "Bacterial small subunit ribosomal RNA", at positions 524 to 769 of the family's 1533-position model. The record is from RNAcentral.
UACGUAGGGGCAAGCGUUGUCCGGAUUUAUUGGGCGUAAAGAGCGUGUAGGCGGUUAGGUAGGUCCGUUGUGAAAACUCGAGGCUCAACCUCGAGACGCCGAUGGAAACCAUCUGACUAGAGUCCGGAAGAGGAGAGUGGAAUCCUGGUGUAGCGGUGAAAUGCGCAGAUAUCAGGAAGAACACCCGUGGCUAAGGCGGCUCCUCUAGUACGGUACUGACGCUGAGACGCGAAAGCGUGGGGAGC